Molecule: ribosomal RNA, 513 nt
Filed under: uncultured bacterium
Lineage: Bacteria
Description: bacterial SSU rRNA
Rfam family: Bacterial small subunit ribosomal RNA
Source: RNAcentral
UCGACGAAAGUUGACUUCCGCAAGGACACUCGUAGAGGUGCUGCAUGGCUGUCGUCAGCUCGUGUCGUGAGAUGUUGGGUUAAGUAACCCGCAACGAGCGCAACCCUUGUCUGCUGUUGCCAUCAGGUAAUGCUGGGCACUCUGCAGAGACUGCCGGUGAUAAACCGGAGGAAGGUGGGGAUGACGUCAAGUCAGCAUGGCCUUUAUGUCUGGGGCUACACACGUGCUACAAUGGCCGAUACAAACCGUCGCAAAACCGCAAGGUGGAGCUAAUCGGAGAAAAUCGGUCUCAGUUCGGAUUGUAGGCUGCAACUCGCCUGCAUGAAGUUGGAAUCGCUAGUAAUCGCGGAUCAGCACGCCGCGGUGAAUACGUUCCCGGGCCUUGUACACACCGCCCGUCACAUCACGAAAGCCGGUUGUACUAGAAGUCGCCACAUCAACCCGCAAGGGAGAGAGGCGCCUAAGGUAUGGUCGGUGAUUGGGGUGAAGUCGUAACAAGGUAGGCGUAGUGCU